GGGGAAUAUUGCGCAAUGGGGGAAACCCUGACGCAGCAACGCCGCGUGAGUGAGGAAGGACUUAGGUCUGUAAAGCUCUGUUAAUGUGGAAAAAUGAUAGUUGGUCUAAUAGGCUGAUUAUUUGAUGGUAUACAUAGAGGAAGCACCGGCUAACUUCGUGCCAGCAGCCGCGGCAAUACGAAGGGUGCAAGCGUUGUUCGGAUUUAUUGGGCGUAAAGCGCGCGUAGGCGGACCUGUAAGUCAGAUGUGAAAUCUCGGGGCUCAACCUCGAAACUGCGUCUGAAACUGCAGGUCUAGAAUCUUGGAGGGGGAAGGGGAAUUUCGCAUGUAGGGGUAAAAUCCGUAGAUAUGCGAAGGAACACCAGAGGCGAAGGCGCCUUCCUGGACAAGUAUUGACGCUGAGGCGCGAAAGCGUGGGGAUCAAAC
RNAcentral lists this ribosomal RNA (426 nucleotides) under uncultured bacterium. RNAcentral's name for it is "bacterial SSU rRNA". It matches the Rfam family "Bacterial small subunit ribosomal RNA", at positions 356 to 773 of the family's 1533-position model. The record is from RNAcentral.